GGGUGAGGGCAAUCCAGCUGUGACAUCUGUCAUCCCAUUAAUCAUCAGGGUUGAUUCAGCUAAUCUGGCUGGCUAGGCAGGUGUCCCUUUCCUCCCUCACCACUCCAUGUGCAUCCCUCCUGAAGCUGUGUGCUUGGUCAAAGAGGACAACCAUUCCUGAUAGAGGACCAUUCUUCGAUCAAGGGUGUAUGAAUACCUUCACUCCCCUGCUGGAACCACCAGACAAGCUCUCACACUAACCCUUUAAAUCAGAGGCUAACAGUAGAGGAAUCUCGAGAUUCGAACCCAAGGACCUGAUGCAUGAGAAGUUCACUU
RNAcentral lists this small nuclear RNA (315 nucleotides) under Castor canadensis (American beaver). RNAcentral's name for it is "7SK RNA (ENSCCNG00000015568.1)". It matches the Rfam family "7SK RNA". From Rfam's summary of the family: 7SK was discovered as an abundant small nuclear RNA in the mid-70s but a possible function has only recently been suggested. Lineage: Eukaryota; Metazoa; Chordata; Mammalia; Rodentia; Castoridae. The record is from Rfam by way of RNAcentral.